CAACCCGAGAGAUCGGGCGUUCCCCUUCGGGGGACAGGGUGACAGGUGGUGCAUGGUUGUCGUCAGCUCGUGUCGUGAGAUGUUGGGUUAAGUCCCGCAACGAGCGCAACCCUCGACCUUAGUUGCCAGCAUUCAGUUGGGCACUCUAAGGUGACUGCCGGCUAAAAGUCGGAGGAAGGUGGGGAUGACGUCAAAUCAUCAUGCCCCUUAUGACCUGGGCUAUACACGUGCUACAAUGGGCGGUACAAAGGGUCGCGAACCCGCGAGGGGGAGCCAAUCCCAAAAAGCCGCUCUCAGUUCGGAUUGCAGGCUGCAACUCGCCUGCAUGAAGCCGGAAUCGCUAGUAAUCGCGGAUCAGCAUGCCGCGGUGAAUACGUUCCCGGGCCUU
This 388-nucleotide ribosomal RNA is filed under the name uncultured Anoxybacillus sp. RNAcentral describes it as "bacterial SSU rRNA". It matches the Rfam family "Bacterial small subunit ribosomal RNA", at positions 995 to 1382 of the family's 1533-position model. Lineage: Bacteria; Bacillati; Bacillota; Bacilli; Caryophanales; Anoxybacillaceae. The record is from RNAcentral.